AUUGAACGCUGGCGGCAUGCUUUACACAUGCAAGUCGAACGGUAACAGGUUAAGCUGACGAGUGGCGAACGGGUGAGUAAUGCAUCGGAACGUGCCCGGUCGUGGGGGAUAACGCAGCGAAAGCUGCGCUAAUACCGCAUACGAUCUGAGGAUGAAAGCGGGGGACCGUAAGGCCUCGCGCGAUCGGAGCGGCCGAUGUCAGAUUAGGUAGUUGGUGGGGUAAAGGCUCACCAAGCCAACGAUCUGUAGCUAGUCUGAGAGGACGACCAGCCACACUGGGACUGAGACACGGCCCAGACUCCUACGGGAGGCAGCAGUGGGGAAUUUUGGACAAUGGGCGAAAGCCUGAUCCAGCAAUGCCGCGUGCAGGAAGAAGGCCUUCGGGUUGUAAACUGCUUUUGUACGGAGCGAAAAGGUCCUUUCUAGUACAGGGGCUCAUGACGGUACCGUAAGAAUAAGCACCGGCUAACUACGUGCCAGCCGCCGCCGUAA
Molecule: ribosomal RNA, 492 nt
Filed under: uncultured bacterium
Lineage: Bacteria
Description: partial 16S ribosomal RNA
Rfam family: Bacterial small subunit ribosomal RNA
Source: RNAcentral